AAAGGAAUUGACGGGGGCCCGCACAAGCGGUGGAGCAUGUGGUUUAAUUCGAUGAUACGCGAGGAACCUUACCUGGGCUCAAAUGUAUGUUGACGUAUUCUGAAAGGGAUACUUCUUCGGACAAUAUACAAGGUGCUGCAUGGUUGUCGUCAGCUCGUGCCGUGAGGUGUCGGGUUAAGUCCCAUAACGAGCGCAACCCCUAUCAUUAGUUGCCAUCAGGUCAAGCUGGGGACUCUAAUGAAACUGCCUACGCAAGUAGUGAGGAAGGUGGGGAUGACGUCAAAUCAGCACGGCCCUUACGUCCAGGGCUACACACGUGCUACAAUGGCUGAUACAGAGGGCAGCUACCUGGUGACAGGAUGCAAAUCUCCAAAGUCGGUCUCAGUUCGGAUCGGAGUCUGCAACCCGACUCCGUGAAGUUGGAUUCGCUAGUAAUCGCGCAUCAGCCAUGGCGCGGUGAAUACGUUCCCGGGCCUU
This 477-nucleotide ribosomal RNA is filed under the name uncultured Sphingobacteriales bacterium. Its description in RNAcentral is "bacterial SSU rRNA". It matches the Rfam family "Bacterial small subunit ribosomal RNA", at positions 903 to 1382 of the family's 1533-position model. Lineage: Bacteria; Pseudomonadati; Bacteroidota; Sphingobacteriia; Sphingobacteriales. The record is from RNAcentral.